GACGAACGCUGGCGGCGUGCCUAAUACAUGCAAGUUGAGCGAUGAAGAUUGGUGCUUGCACCAAUUUGAAGAGCAGCGAACGGGUGAGUAACGCGUGGGGAAUCUGCCUUUGAGCGGGGGACAACAUUGGGAAACGAAUGCUAAUACCGCAUAACAACUUUAAACAUAAGUUUUAAGUUUGAAAGAUGCAAUUGCAUCACUCAAAGAUGAUCCCGCGUUGUAUUAGCUAGUUGGUGAGGUAAAGGCUCACCAAGGCGAUGAUACAUAGCCGACCUGAGAGGGUGAUCGGCCACAUUGGGCCUGAGACACGGCCCAAACUCCUACGGGAGGCAGCGGUAGGGAAUCUUCGGCAAUGGACGAAAGUCUGGCCGAGCAACGCCGCGUGAGUGAAGAAGGGUUUCGGAUCGUAAAACUCUGUUGGUAGAGAAGAACGUUGGUGAGAGUGGAAAGCUCAUCAAGUGACGGUAACUACCCAGAAAGGGACGGCUAACUACGUG
Molecule: ribosomal RNA, 497 nt
Filed under: uncultured bacterium
Lineage: Bacteria
Description: partial 16S ribosomal RNA
Rfam family: Bacterial small subunit ribosomal RNA
Source: RNAcentral